Molecule: RNA transcript, 1296 nt
Organism: Mastomys coucha (southern multimammate mouse)
Lineage: Eukaryota; Metazoa; Chordata; Mammalia; Rodentia; Muridae
Gene name: argininosuccinate synthase pseudogene
Exons: 2
Source: RefSeq, a predicted model, not a curated record
AUGGAGUCCCAGGAUGUUACUAUCAGGAAGACACACUCCAGACUCCAGGGACCUGUACCUACAGUCCAAGACAAGAUAUCCAGCAAGGGCUCUGUGGUUCUAGCCUACAGUGGCGGCCUGGACCCCUCCUGCAUCCUCGUGUGGCUGAAGGAACAAGGCUAUGAUGUCAUUGCCUACCUGGCCAACAUUGGCCAGAAAGAAGACUUUGAGGAGGCCAGGAAGAAGGUGCUGAAGCUUGGGGCCAAAAAAAAGUGUUCAUUGAGGAUGUGAGCAAGGAGUGUGUGGAAGAGUUCAUCUGGCCUACUGUCCAGUCCAGUGCACUCUACGAGGACCGCUAUCUCCUGGGCACCUCUCUUGCCAGGCCUUGCAUAGCUCACAGACAAGUGGAAAUUGCCCAGCGUGAAGGGGCCAAGUAUGUGUCUCAUGGUGUCACAGGACAGGGGUCCACUUUGAGCUCACUUGCUACUUAUUGGCACCCCAGAUUAAUGUCACUGCCCCCUGGAGGCUGCCUGAGUUUUACAACCAGUUCAAGGGCCGAAAUGAUCUGAUGGAGUAUGUGAAGCAACAUGGAAUCCCCAUCCCAGUCACAUCCAAGAGCCCCUGGAGUAUGGAUGAGAUCCCAGCUAUGAGGCUGGGAUCUUGGAAAACCCCAAGAACCAAGCACCUCCAGGUCUCUACACAAAAACUCAGGACCCUGCCAAAGCUCCCAACAGCCCAGAUGUCCUUGAGACAGAAUUCAAAAACGGAGUCCCGGUGAAGGUAACCAACAUCAAAGAUGGCACCACCCACAGCAUGUCCUUGGAACUCUUCAUGUACCUGAACAAAGUUGCUGGCAAGCACCGUGUGGGUCGCAUUGACAUUGUGGAGAACCACUUCAUUGGAAUGAAGUCCCGGGGUAUCUACGAGACCCCAGCAGGGACCAUCCUUUACCAUACUCAUUUAGACAUAGAGGCCUCCACCAUGGAUCAGGAAGUAUGAAAAAUCAAGCAGGGCCUGGGCCUCAAAUUCGCAGAGCUCGUCUACAUGGGUUUCUGGCACAGCCCUGAAUGUGAAUUUGUUCGCCACUGCAUCGAGAAGUCCCAGGAGCAUGUGGAAGGGAAGGUGCAGGUGUCUGUCUUCAAGGGCCAGGUGUACAUCCCCGGCCGGGAGUCUCCACUCUCACUAUACAAUGAAGAACUGGUGAGCAUGAAUGUGCAGGACGACUAUGAGCCCAUUGAUGCCACCGGUUUCAUCAAAAUCAACUCGCUCAGGCUGAAGGAGUACCAUCACCUUCAGAGCAAGGUCACUGCCAAAUAG